RNAcentral lists this ribosomal RNA (405 nucleotides) under uncultured Myxococcales bacterium. RNAcentral describes it as "bacterial SSU rRNA". It matches the Rfam family "Bacterial small subunit ribosomal RNA", at positions 355 to 776 of the family's 1533-position model. The record is from RNAcentral. Lineage: Bacteria; Pseudomonadati; Myxococcota; Myxococcia; Myxococcales.
UGGGGAAUAUUGCGCAAUGGGCGAAAGCCUGACGCAGCCACGCCGCGUGGGUGAUGAAGGCCUUCGGGUUGUAAAGCCCUGUCGAGGGGGAAGAACACUGACGGUACCCCUCAAGAAAGCGCCGGCUAACCCUGUGCCAGCAGCCGCGGUAAUACAGGGGGCGCAAGCGUUGCUCGGAAUCACUGGGCGUAAAGCGUACGCAGGCGGACCGGUAAGUCGGAUGUGAAAUCCCGAGGCUCAACCUCGGAACUGCAUUCGAAACUGUCGGUCUUGAGUACGGGAGAGGUGAGCGGAAUUCCUGGUGUAGAGGUGAAAUUCGUAGAUAUCAGGAGGAACACCGGUGGCGAAAGCGGCUCACUGGCCCGAUACUGACGCUCAUGUACGAAAGCGCGGGGAGCAAACAGG